CUCUGCAGUCCCCCGGCGGGUGCCUCGGUCGCACUGCCCCCGGGACAGACCGUGAUCACGUGCUGAAGAAGCUGGCCAGCAGGGGGCGUCCGAGAACAUCACGGAGUCCCUCGAAAACUACCCACAUGGAAGGAAUUGGCGGAGCCUGAGAAAGACAAAGGCUUCUGGCCACAGACCGCAUCACGCCGCCUCCGUGGAGGGUGAGGAGGCGGCAGAGAGGAGAGGCCGGGCCUCCGUGAGGGCUUUGGACGCUUAUCCGUUCCCCGGGGAGGACUGGAAAUAUUGACAAAUCCUUUGGCUCCACGUUUCCCUCCGUGAGGCGCAUGGGGUGCCCCCUCCUGUAACCCCUUUACCGCAGAGCGCCCCUCUUCGGAAUUCGGAGCAAGAAACGGAACAUCCCAGAAAACGACAGUCACGUAUUGGAGCGAGUUCUCCAGGCGCGCAGCCUGUGGGUUGGAUCCUCCGGUGCGUCCGGAGGUGCCCACGAGCCUCGGCGGACUCCGAACACAAGCAUUUCUCCGUCUCCCGACGCCAGCACGUCCGGCUGCAGACCUUCCACGCCUCCUGGGGUGGACACCGCGGCCAGCUGACCCGACAGCUGCUGCCAGACUGCACGAGGGGAUGCCACGUGUAACCUUGAGCCACCCGGAAGGUGUCACCAACUGGACAGAAGCGGGCCAGACAGCCCUGUCGCAGCCUCUGGGAGGCACUGCUGUGGGGAGGCAGCAGGUGGAGACGCCGCCAGCCACCCCCCCGCCCCGCCCACGUGCCGGCGCCCCUCCCACCACGAUGGCUUUACAGCACACACCUGGGUUUUCCUGAAACUGGGGACGUGGUUCUGGGGGCUUUUUGUCACUAGCGAACCCUGGGACUCCGGCUGAAGCCUCUAGGCAUCCUUUCUGUAGGACCGAAGCUGUCUGAGCAAAAUACAGCAAAAGAAACAAAA
Molecule: long non-coding RNA, 946 nt
Organism: Suricata suricatta (meerkat)
Lineage: Eukaryota; Metazoa; Chordata; Mammalia; Carnivora; Herpestidae
Exons: 2
Source: RefSeq, a predicted model, not a curated record